AAACUUAAAGGAAAUUGACGGGGCCCGCACAAGCGGUGGAGCAUGUGGUUUAAUUCGAUGCAACGCGAAGAACCUUACCAGGGUUUGACAUGCUGUGGUAGAAACCUGAAAGGGUGACGACCUUCGGUUUUCCGAGGGAGCCAGCACAGGUGCUGCAUGGUUGUCGUCAGCUCGUGUCGUGAGAUGUUGGGUUAAGUCCCGCAACGAGCGCAACCCUUACCCUUAGUUGCGACCAGGUAAUGCUUGAGCACUCUAAGGGGACUGCCGGUGACAAACCGGAGGAAGGUGGGGAUGACGUCAAGUCCUCAUGGCCCUUAUAGGUGGGGCUACACACGUCAUACAAUGGCUGGUACAAAGGGUUGCCAACCCGCGAGGGGGAGCUAAUCCCAUAAAGCCAGUCGUAGUCCGGAUCGCAGUCUGCAACUCGACUGCGUGAAGUCGGAAUCGCUAGGUAAUCGUGGAUCAGAAUGUCACGGUGAAUACGUUCCCGGGUCUU
RNAcentral lists this ribosomal RNA (496 nucleotides) under uncultured Atribacterota bacterium. RNAcentral describes it as "bacterial SSU rRNA". It matches the Rfam family "Bacterial small subunit ribosomal RNA", at positions 897 to 1382 of the family's 1533-position model. Lineage: Bacteria; Pseudomonadati; Atribacterota. The record is from RNAcentral.